RNAcentral lists this ribosomal RNA (500 nucleotides) under uncultured Halomicrobium sp. RNAcentral's name for it is "bacterial SSU rRNA". It matches the Rfam family "Archaeal small subunit ribosomal RNA", at positions 373 to 872 of the family's 1478-position model. The record is from RNAcentral. Lineage: Archaea; Methanobacteriati; Methanobacteriota; Halobacteria; Halobacteriales; Haloarculaceae.
AGGGGACCCCGAGUGCGAGGGCAUAUAGUCCUCGCUUUUCUGGACUGUAGGGAGGUCCAAGAAUAAGGGCUGGGCAAGACCGGUGCCAGCCGCCGCGGUAAUACCGGCAGCACGAGUGAUGGCCGAUCUUAUUGGGCCUAAAGCGUCCGUAGCCGGCCAGACAAGUCCGUUGGGAAAUCGACGCGCUCAACGCGUCGGCGUCCAGCGGAAACUGUCUGGCUUGGGGCCGGAAGACCUGAGGGGUACGUCCGGGGUAGGAGUGAAAUCCCGUAAUCCCGGACGGACCGCCGGUGGCGAAAGCGCCUCGGGAAGACGGACCCGACGGUGAGGGACGAAAGCUAGGGUCUCGAACCGGAUUAGAUACCCGGGUAGUCCUAGCCGUAAACGAUGCCCGCUAGGUGUGGCGCAGGCUACGAGCCUGCGCUGUGCCGUAGGGAAGCCGAGAAGCAGGCCGCCUGGGAGGUACGGCCGCAAGGCUGAAACUUAAAGGAAUUGGCGGG